This 331-nucleotide ribosomal RNA is filed under the name uncultured Amorphus sp. Its description in RNAcentral is "bacterial SSU rRNA". It matches the Rfam family "Bacterial small subunit ribosomal RNA", at positions 568 to 898 of the family's 1533-position model. Lineage: Bacteria; Pseudomonadati; Pseudomonadota; Alphaproteobacteria; Hyphomicrobiales; Amorphaceae. The record is from RNAcentral.
UAUGCAGGCGGAUCGUUAAGUCGGGGGUGAAAUCCCGAGGCUCAACCUCGGAACUGCCUUCGAUACUGGCGAUCUUCGAGUCCGGGAGAGGUGAGUGGAACUCCGAGUGUAGAGGUGAAAUUCGUAGAUAUUCGGAAGAACACCAGUGGCGAAGGCGGCUCACUGGCCCGGUACUGACGCUGAGAUACGAAAGCGUGGGGAGCAAACAGGAUUAGAUACCCUGGUAGUCCACGCUGUAAACGAUGGGUGCUAGCCGUUGGGCAGCAUGCUGUUCGGUGGCGCAGCUAACGCAUUAAGCACCCCGCCUGGGGAGUACGAUCGCAAGAUUAAA